AACGAACGCUGGCGGCAUGCCUAACACAUGCAAGUCGAACGAGACCUUCGGGUCUAGUGGCGCACGGGUGCGUAACGCGUGGGAAUCUGCCCUCUGGUACGGAAUAACUCAGGGAAACUUGAGCUAAUACCGUAUAAUGACUUCGGUCCAAAGAUUUAUCGCCUGAGGAUGAGCCCGCGUCGGAUUAGCUAGCUGGUGAGGUAAAGGCUCACCAAGGCGACGAUCCGUAGCUGGUCUGAGAGGAUGAUCAGCCACACUGGGACUGAGACACGGCCCAGACUCCUACGGGAGGCAGCAGUGGGGAAUAUUGGACAAUGGGCGAAAGCCUGAUCCAGCAAUGCCGCGUGAGUGAUGAAGGCCUUAGGGUUGUAAAGCUCUUUUACCCGGGAUGAUAAUGACAGUACCGGGAGAAUAAGCCCCGGCUAACUCCGUGCCAGCAGCCGCGGUAA
Molecule: ribosomal RNA, 449 nt
Filed under: uncultured bacterium
Lineage: Bacteria
Description: partial 16S ribosomal RNA
Rfam family: Bacterial small subunit ribosomal RNA
Source: RNAcentral